UACGAAUGGGGCAAGCGUUGUUCGGAAUCACUGGGCGUAAAGCGUGCGUAGGCGGUUUAACAAGUCAGAAGUGAAAGCCCAGGGCUCAACCCUGGAAUUGCUUUUGAAACUGUUAGACUAGAGACUCGGAGAGGUUGGCAGAAUUCCCAGUGUAGAGGUGAAAUUCGCAGAUAUUGGGAGGAAUACCAGUGGCGUAAGCGGCCAACUGGACGAGUACUGACGCUGAGGCACGAAAGCGUGGGGAUCAAACAGG
This 253-nucleotide ribosomal RNA is filed under the name uncultured bacterium. Its description in RNAcentral is "partial 16S ribosomal RNA". It matches the Rfam family "Bacterial small subunit ribosomal RNA", at positions 524 to 776 of the family's 1533-position model. The record is from RNAcentral.